Molecule: long non-coding RNA, 1444 nt
Filed under: Lathyrus oleraceus (garden pea)
Lineage: Eukaryota; Viridiplantae; Streptophyta; Magnoliopsida; Fabales; Fabaceae
Description: Pisum sativum (pea) long non-coding RNA (PSAT_LNC029397)
Source: RNAcentral
GCCGCUCAACAGAGUUUGGAAACAACGUGUAACCAAACGAAAAACUUCUUCCUCUUCAUAUCGAUUUCGGACUCCUUCCCGGAUUCCAUUUGACUUCUCACCGUGAUUUUGGCCGACCAACACAAUACACCUGUGAUGGCGCCUCCUCGCCCAAGAGAAACUCAGAAAUCCCGCGUGAGAUAGGAACCGAAAGUGUAAGUCGAACCUCACCCAAGUGAAACUCGGAAACCCCUUUUAUUCUACCAUUAGCAAAUCAAAAAAAUUUGGACUUCGUCCUCUCUAAUCGCACAAAGGAAUCGACAGUAACAAUAUCAUAUUUUGUUAGGCAAGUCAAGAAGUCAUGGGGGAACACUACGCAUCAGAGACGUAACAAUAUCAUCGAUGAAACAACAACAUUAAAGACAAUGAUGAUUUCAUACUGGUUCAUUUGUUCACAGGUUGUCAUGAUUACAAGGAUUCGCGGCAUCAGUUAUAAGGAUUUGUGGCAUCGGUAAAAAAGGGAGUGGUAAGAUUAGAAUAAAAGUAAAGAAGUUUUACCUACAGAGAAGAUACCAAGCCUGCACAGGUGUUCCAGGUAGCCGAAUAUUUCCUUUCACUUCAAAAUUGCUUAUCUGCUCCUUGCUCUGUUUUUCUAUGAUUAUCAUUUCUUCUUAUUUACGUACCUAUUUGUAUCACCGCUUUCCAGAGAGAAUGAAAAUGGAAGCAAAAGUUCUUGAUUGUUUUGUUCAAAACUAGAAUCCAAUAUUUGUGAAUGUUGUUUUGUAUUUUGUCGUAUGUGUCAGUUUUCCUUUAGUUUCAAUGUGUAGUUGUGAGGGCUGUUAAGAUCUCUCUUGUUUUUUUUAUAAGUCAUGUUGGAAAUUUUGAUGCUAGGUUCCCUCUCCUGAACUUUUCAUUCUUCCUCUAAUUUAUAAUCAAAUAUUAGGGUUUCAAACUGAUAUGUGUUGUUGUUGAGAUAUUAUCCAUGGAAAUAAUAAUGAAGAACUUUCUAAGAUGAUAUAUGUUGUCUUGCCAUUUGAUACAAACUUCCUGGUAUGCCUCAAAGUAUCAAGUUAUGUUAUACUACUUUAUGGUUUGACUUUUGGGUCUUUGUACUUGUUUCCCCAAUAUUGUUAAUUUGCUAUGAAAUCUAUAUGUAGGACAAGGUAUGUACAAAGCCAAGUUGUUUCUACAUAUGAAUACAAGAAGAAAAAGACAAAACACACUUGGCAACUAUGAGGAAACCACAUUCCUAGGAUAUUAUUUUUUUGUAAUUUUUUCAAUUCCUUAAUGUAUUCAAAAAUGUAGAAUUCUUGGGACAAAAAGUGUAAAACAAAAAUGUGAAUUUAUUCCUCUUUUUGGAUUACUCAAUUUUGUGGUAGAAUAGGAUGCUUGAUGUAAAAAAGAAUAAACAAACGAGAAAUUUAUUAUUUAGACAAAGGUUCAUGAUUAAUCAUCUUUUUUUGAA